Molecule: unclassified non-coding RNA, 250 nt
Filed under: Hevea brasiliensis (rubber tree)
Lineage: Eukaryota; Viridiplantae; Streptophyta; Magnoliopsida; Malpighiales; Euphorbiaceae
Source: RNAcentral
AAUGCUGUUACAAUUGCAGAACCUGAAAGUGAUGCUUAUUAUUCCCAGUAUUUGCAAAGCACUGAAGUGUCUGCUUCUGGGCAGAAGGAUUUGGGUAUGGAAAAUGGAUGUGGUUUUGGGAGAAGGGAUGUGUCGUUUUCAGGAGAGCCUGGAGAGUCUUUGAGAGCAAUUCUCACUGACCCUGUGACGGGCGCUCUCAUGGACGAUGCAAUGAUAUUGCCGUGUGGACAUUCCUUUGGGAGUGGUGGAA